CACGCGCAGCGCCCGCGCCACCGCGUAAUAUUUAUACGGCCAUAUUCAAUCGUACCUUAGUCGAGCGCUGGUUGAGGUCGUGUGUACACAAGAUGAAGUCGCUUCUACUUAUUUAUAUAAUGUGCGUUGCGUUGUUAAUAGAAGCUAGAUCUAUCGUUUCAAACAAUCUAUCCGAUUCAAAGAGACUAUACAGUGACACGAAUGAGUAUAGAAUAGCUUCAAGUGAACCUUUAGUGAGAACUAAACGUAAUCUCAUAAAGAGUGGCAAAUGUGCUAUUAAUUUCAAACCUGUGCCAAAUUUACCGUUUUUACUUUGUGUGCCCUGUUCCCAGUAAGUAAGCAUUAAAUACACAACGAAUCGAGGAAGAAGAUGCUGACAUUAGGAUCAAAAGUUUCUAUAAAACAAGAGAAUAAAAGACUACGCCAGCGAUUGACGAUUGGCAUUUUGUUACAAUAUUAUAUAAACUAAUAUAUUAUAUAAUAUUUUCGUAACAUAGAGGGUUUCGCCUACUUAAUACGUUACAUACUAUCUUGUAUAUGGAUUACGAGAUUAUACUUUUAAGAAAUCUUCUAGAAUCAGAUUAAAAUUCAUAAUUUUUCAUUCUCAACAGCUUUUUUAUUGUUAAAAAGGCAACAAAUUUUGCAUUUCCAUUUGAUGUCUUAAUAAGUUAUAAUAUGUUAUAAAUGAAAUUGACUUAUUUCAUAAAAUAGAUUUAACAAAAAAUGAUCGUGCUAUACCCGUUUCAUUGCCAUUUUUUUGUGCCAUAAACAUUAUGGUUUACAACGAGAAAUCCAUAAAUAUUGCGAAUGAACAAGGCGCUAUUAAUCUACUCUUAUUCAGAAGCUCUACUGUACUUCAAAUAUUUUCUUAUUUAUUUUAUUUUGUACAAUAAACGUGUGAUUCAAGAUUCAUUCUCAAAUAUGCUCAUACUUUUGUUGGAGACAGUAUUUUUGAAACGAAAACCUCCUUUUCAAUAUAUGCAAAGUAUGUGAAGGUACAUACGUAUAAUUUAAAACUUUGAUGUUGUUUGUUAAACGGCUCAAGACUUAGUAAUGACCAUUGAAAUGUUCUGACUUAUUCUCCAGACGUGCCAUAUGUGUCUUAGUUGAAACUAAACUUGCUAUGUGAAGUUUUUGCAAACAUUUACUCUAAAUAUUGAAAUUCCACUUUAUAGCACCUUUGGAAAGGCAAAAUGCAAUUGAAAAAUCUAUUCCACAUUCCUAACUGUUAUUUUAACUAUCUGUAAAUUAUUUGAUACGAAAUCGUAAUUCAUAGAUAUUAAGUAAAGAAUAAAAUUAGAUAAAUGUUUAAUUUAUAAAUAAAUUUAACUUAUUUUCAAAAACACCUGUCUAUCGUUUGGAACUUGAAUCACACUUAGAUAUAAAAAGCAUUUGACCAUUGACAUUUGUUAGAGUAGUAUUUUUGUGUGUGUGUGUGUGUGUGUGUCUGUGUGUGUUUGUUUGAGUAUGAAAAAAAACAAUUGUGUAAUAGAACAAAUUGGCAUCUUUUUAAUAUUUAUUUGACAAAAAAAUAUUAUAUUUUUUUUAUAAUUUUCAUAUUUAAAAUUAUUUGACACUUUAUGUAUCAACUUAUUAGAUUCAAUAUGUAUAAUGAGAAUGUAUUUAUUAUAUUUUUUUACAAUAAUAUAUUACCUCCAACGUA
Long non-coding RNA from Danaus plexippus (monarch butterfly), 1663 nucleotides. RefSeq lists it as uncharacterized. The transcript is spliced from 2 exons. Lineage: Eukaryota; Metazoa; Arthropoda; Insecta; Lepidoptera; Nymphalidae. The record is from RefSeq and is a predicted model, not a curated record.